AGCGAACGCUGGCGGCAGGCCUAAUACAUGCAAGUCGACCGGCCGUAGCAAUACGGCAGCGGCAGACGGGAGAGUAACACGUGGGAACGUACCCUUCGGUUCGGAACAACCCAGGGAAACUUGGGCUAAUACCGGAUACGUCCGUAAGGAGAAAGAUUUAUCGCCGAAGGAUCGGCCCGCGUCUGAUUAGCUUGUUGGUGAGGUAACGGCUCACCAAGGCGACGAUCAGUAGCUGGUCUGAGAGGAUGAUCAGCCUCACUGGGACUGAGACACGGCCCAGACUCCUACGGGAGGCAGCAGUAGGGAAUAUUGGACAAUGGGCGCAAGCCUGAUCCAGCCAUGCCGCGUGAGUGAUGAAGGCCUUAGGGUUGUAAGGCUCUUUCGGCGGGGAAGAUAAUGACGGUACCCGCAGAAGAAGCCCCGGCUAGCUUCGUGCCAGCAGCCGCCGUAA
Molecule: ribosomal RNA, 451 nt
Filed under: uncultured bacterium
Lineage: Bacteria
Description: partial 16S ribosomal RNA
Rfam family: Bacterial small subunit ribosomal RNA
Source: RNAcentral